RNAcentral lists this non-coding RNA (293 nucleotides) under Pan troglodytes (chimpanzee). RNAcentral also lists the same sequence under 1 other name. The record is from RNAcentral. Lineage: Eukaryota; Metazoa; Chordata; Mammalia; Primates; Hominidae.
AGUAGAUCCUGGAGAUGUGGUUACACAGCUUGAAUGAAAACAGGUCCUCAAGAGUUGACUUGCUGAACCAUAGGCCAUAAAUGGAGAAAUAACCCAAAGCCAGCUGCCAACAGUGAAAACUGUCCAAUGAUACAGCAGUGUUCGAGUUGAUACAGCUAGUUCCACCAGUGGGUGAAACACUGUCUACGUAUGACGAAAAUACACGAGAUUUCAUGUUUCCGGGUCCAAACCAAAUGUCUGGACACCAUGAUUCAAACCGCCAGGUUACCAUGAGGAGGAUUUCUGGCCUUCGA